RNAcentral lists this ribosomal RNA (603 nucleotides) under Arachnomyces peruvianus. Its description in RNAcentral is "partial 28S ribosomal RNA". It matches the Rfam family "Eukaryotic large subunit ribosomal RNA", at positions 44 to 662 of the family's 3401-position model. Lineage: Eukaryota; Fungi; Ascomycota; Eurotiomycetes; Onygenales; Arachnomycetaceae. The record is from RNAcentral.
CAAUAAGCGGAGGAAAAGAAACCAACAGGGAUUGCCCCAGUAACGGCGAGUGAAGCGGCAAGAGCUCAAAUUUGAAAUCUGGCCCCCUCGGGGCCCGAGUUGUAAUUUGCAGAGGAUGCUUCGGGUUCGGCCCCGGUCUAAGUCCCCUGGAACGGGGCGUCAUGGAGGGUGAGAAUCCCGUCUGGGAUCGACGGCCGGACCCGUGUGAAGCUCCUUCGACGAGUCGAGUUGUUUGGGAAUGCAGCUCCAAAUGGGUGGUAAAUUUCAUCUAAAGCUAAAUACUGGUCGGAGACCGAUAGCGCACAAGUAGAGUGAUCGAAAGAUGAAAAGCACUUUGAAAAGAGAGUUAAACAGCAUGUGAAAUUGUUGAAAGGGAAGCGCUUGCGACCAGACUCGCCCGCGGGGGCUCAGCCGGCAUUCUUGCCGGUGCACUCCCCCGCGGUCGGGCCAGCGUCGGUUUGGGCGGUCGGUCAAAGGUCCCCGGAAUGUGUCGCCCCUCGGGGCGUCUUAUAGCCGGGGGCGCAAUGCGGCCUGCCCGGACCGAGGAACGCGCUUCGGCACGGACGCUGGCGUAAUGGUCGUAAGCGGCCCGUCUUGAAACAC